AGUGAACGCUGGCGGUAGGCCUAACACAUGCAAGUCGAACGGCAGCACAGUAAGAGCUUGCUCUUACGGGUGGCGAGUGGCGGACGGGUGAGGAAUACAUCGGAAUCUACUUUUUCGUGGGGGAUAACGUAGGGAAACUUACGCUAAUACCGCAUACGACCUACGGGUGAAAUCAGGGGUUCUUCGGACCUUGCGCGUUUGAAUGAGCCGAUUUCGGAUUAGCUAGUUGGCGGGGUAAAGGCCCACCAAGGCGACGAUCCGUUGCUGGUCUGAGAGGAUGAUCAGCCAGACUGGAACUGAGACACGGUACAGACUCCUACGGGAGGCAGCAGUGGGGAAUAUUGGACAAUGGGCGCAAGCCUGAUCCAGCAAUACCGCGUGGGUGAAGAAGGACUUCGGGUUGUAAAGCCCUUUUGUUGGGAAAGAAAAGCAGCAGGUUAAUACCCCGCUGUUCUGACGGUACCCAAAGAAUAAGCACCGGCUAACUUCGUG
This 492-nucleotide ribosomal RNA is filed under the name uncultured bacterium. RNAcentral describes it as "partial 16S ribosomal RNA". It matches the Rfam family "Bacterial small subunit ribosomal RNA", at positions 29 to 507 of the family's 1533-position model. The record is from RNAcentral.